CGUAUUUGUAAUGAUUUCAAAUUUUGUAAACGUUCAAAAACACAUUUUAUUUCUGAAGGACACUUUUUAAAUGGAACACAAUUGCCCGUUGAAUAGAGUUCAACUUGGAUAUCAUACCUGGAAUUUGCUUCAUACUAUGGUGGCAAACUAUCCGGACGAACCUUCACCCCAGAAACAGGAAGAUAUAUAUCAAUUUUUUAAACUACUCGCCCGUCUGUAUCCUUGUCAAGCAUGUGGUCGUGAUUUUUCUCAUCUGUUGACCCAACGACCACCAGUGACUAACUCACAAAAUACAUUAUCUGAAUGGCUGUGUUCUAUACACAAUGAUGUAAAUCAAAAAAUUGGAAAAUCAAUUUUUGAUUGUAACAGAGUAAACGAAAGAUGGAGGGACGGGUGGAAUGAUGGAAGCUGUGAUCAAAUAUAAAUGUAAACUGUACACAGUGACUACUACGCGCCAAACAGAAAACAUAUAUAAUACAAUAAUAACUAUAUAUAGGUAUUUUUUUUCCUGUUUGAACCGAGAACCGGAGACGAAACUGCUUUCGCAUUGCUUUGACCAAACUAUAGUGUGUUUUCAGUCAUUACCUUUUGUAGCAGUUAAAAUGCUUCAAAUCUUUGAGGGUGAUUUGAGGUAGAAAAUUGGAUCAAAUUGAAACUUUGACUUUGGGGAGUCAAGAGUAAAAAUGCCCAGUAAUUUUCCAAAUAAUGGGGAAAAACUUUUGAAAAAAUAAUAAAAUAUUAUAUUGUCCUGCAAUAUUUUAUGAUUAUACCAUUGU
This is an RNA transcript of Acyrthosiphon pisum (pea aphid), 776 nucleotides long. It is a transcript of the gene named FAD-linked sulfhydryl oxidase ALR-like, with no coding region annotated. The transcript is spliced from 5 exons. Lineage: Eukaryota; Metazoa; Arthropoda; Insecta; Hemiptera; Aphididae. The record is from RefSeq and is a predicted model, not a curated record.